GGCUCAGGAUGAACGCUAGCUACAGGCUUAACACAUGCAAGUCGAGGGGCAGCAUUUUAGUUUGCUUGCAAACUGAAGAUGGCGACCGGCGCACGGGUGAGUAACACGUAUCCAACCUGCCGAUAACUCCGGAAUAGCCUUUCGAAAGAAAGAUUAAUACCGGAUAGCAUACGAAUAUCGCAUGAUAUUUUUAUUAAAGAAUUUCGGUUAUCGAUGGGGAUGCGUUCCAUUAGUUUGUUGGCGGGGUAACGGCCCACCAAGACUACGAUGGAUAGGGGUUCUGAGAGGAAGGUCCCCCACAUUGGAACUGAGACACGGUCCAAACUCCUACGGGGGGCAGCAGUGAGGAAUAUUGGUCAAUGGGCGAGAGCCUGAACCAGCCAAGUAGCGUGAAGGAUGAAGGCUCUAUGGGUCGUAAACUUCUUUUAUAUGGGAAUAAAGUUUUCCACGUGUGGAAUUUUGUAUGUACCAUAUGAAUAAGGAUCGGCUAACUCCGUGCCAGCAGCCGCGGUAAUACGGAGGAUCCGAGCGUUAUCCGGAUUUAUUGGGUUUAAAGGGAGCGUAGGUGGAUUGUUAAGUCAGUUGUGAAAGUUUGCGGCUCAACCGUAAAAUUGCAGUUGAAACUGGCAGUCUUGAGUACAGUAGAGGUGGGCGGAAUUCGUGGUGUAGCGGUGAAAUGCUUAGAUAUCACGAAGAACUCCGAUUGCGAAGGCAGCUCACUAGACUGUCACUGACACUGAUGCUCGAAAGUGUGGGUAUCAAACAGGAUUAGAUACCCUGGUAGUCCACACAGUAAACGAUGAAUACUCGCUGUUUGCGAUAUACAGUAAGCGGCCAAGCGAAAGCAUUAAGUAUUCCACCUGGGGAGUACGCCGGCAACGGUGAAACUCAAAGGAAUUGACGGGGGCCCGCACAAGCGGAGGAACAUGUGGUUUAAUUCGAUGAUACGCGAGGAACCUUACCCGGGCUUAAAUUGCAACAGAAUAUAUUGGAAACAGUAUAGCCGUAAGGCUGUUGUGAAGGUGCUGCAUGGUUGUCGUCAGCUCGUGCCGUGAGGUGUCGGCUUAAGUGCCAUAACGAGCGCAACCCUUAUCUUUAGUUACUAACAGGUCAUGCUGAGGACUCUAGAGAGACUGCCGUCGUAAGAUGUGAGGAAGGUGGGGAUGACGUCAAAUCAGCACGGCCCUUACGUCCGGGGCUACACACGUGUUACAAUGGGGGGUACAGAAGGCGGCUACCUGGUGACAGGAUGCUAAUCCCAAAAACCUCUCUCAGUUCGGAUCGAAGUCUGCAACCCGACUUCGUGAAGCUGGAUUCGCUAGUAAUCGCGCAUCAGCCAUGGCGCGGUGAAUACGUUCCCGGGCCUUGUACACACCGCCCGUCAAGCCAUGAAAGCCGGGGGUACCUGAAGUACGUAACCGCAAGGAGCGUCCUAGGGUAAAACUGGUAAUU
This 1452-nucleotide ribosomal RNA is filed under the name uncultured organism. RNAcentral's name for it is "SSU rRNA". It matches the Rfam family "Bacterial small subunit ribosomal RNA". The record is from RNAcentral.